AUUAGAGCUUGGGGACAGUCUGAAGAUCUUGAAUAUCUGCCGGUCUUUCACCAAGCAUAUGUAAGUUUGCAGGGAAGAAGUGUGCUUCGGUCAGUAGAAGAUGGGAAUUCAUCCCCCACGUCUUAUUCCCUGGAAUCAUAUGUCCAUCAGCAGCCGCUAUCUCCUCCUGAAAGAUAUCCUAUUCCUGGCACCGGAUUUGAUGAUGAAAACCAUACUACUUUUGGAUAUAAUGGCAGGGCCCUAUCAGUUGAAGAAAAGAAUGAAUUUUUCGUAACAACUCGGAACAGCCUUGAACUUCUCUCUAGCAUUUUGAAUGCUGAAACUGAACCAAAACCCAUUAGGGAGGAUCUGACAGUGAGCUUAUUGGAGAAGUGCAAGCAAUCACAGGUUGUCAUACAGAGGAUCAUAGAAAGCACCACUGACGAUGAGGCUAUGCUAUUUGAGGCACUUAAUCUCAACGAUGAGCUUCAACUGGUCAUCUCCCAAUAUGAGUUGCUGGAAGCUGGUCUAAACACUGGAGAGCAGGUGCCUGGGGGUUCUGAUAACACUAAGGAUGAUUUGCCUGCUCAGGUUGGACAUAAUAAUAAUGAAACCGAUAUAACAGAUUCCACAAAGGGAGAGAAUGCUAAUGAAUCUAGCAGCAAUAAGACAAAUGCAGAAUGAAAAGCCAGGAUUUGGAAGGUUUUAUGCAGGUUUUCUCAUACCUCUUUUUAGUCCCUGUCUCCUUUCAUAUUGAUUGUUUUCCCCUUAUUACUGAUAUCUUAAUAGCUAAUAACAGAGCUGUUGUAAUUAGUCAUGAGCCUUUCUGACUAUGGUUACUGUGCUUGUCUCCUUUUAGCCUAUUAGCAAAUGAGCCUCCUCAUUGCCUUCAGAGGACUUCGAGUCUGUUAUAGUAUGUAGUUGCAGUUGUUCUUGUUGGUUUUUGCAUGGCACUCAGCUAUUACACGGCUAUGCAAUUAUUUC
This 963-nucleotide unclassified non-coding RNA is filed under the name Hevea brasiliensis (rubber tree). Lineage: Eukaryota; Viridiplantae; Streptophyta; Magnoliopsida; Malpighiales; Euphorbiaceae. The record is from RNAcentral.